CAUAGCAUUUCUCUGUUUAGUAGGGAGAUCAGCUUCAGAGUUCUCUUGUUUCUAACCAGUGACUCUGGACAGAGAUGUUGAGCUUUUAGUCUGAGCUGAUGCGGUAAUGGACAUGCAUAGAUCAUUACUGUCUUGGGAGCUGAAGAUCUGAGGGGGCAAAACAUAAUUCCUUACUUCUUAUAUACCACCAUACACCGUUUAAGAUGAGGGAGUCCGAUUUUUUUUUUUUAUGAGCAUGGCCUUAUUUCUGUUACAGCAUAUUGGAUGACUGUCAUUAAUAUUUCAUUCACCCAGCUCAAUGCAGCAUCGAUAGGUUUAGGCUACUUCAUGAUGCUCAAAUUUUUCCUAUACCCAUCAGGAGGUUGCUACAACCUAGCCUAUGAAUGAAAGUUUACAACGCAGGUGCACAGGUCAAAAGAAAUGUGUGUAAUCAAGGUGACAGACAUUGACACAUUCAAUACCUUCUUGCACACUCUUGCCUGCAUCUAGCUAAUCAUUAGUCCAAAAGAUGCAAACAAGUGUUUCUAAUUGGACAAAUUCAGGUAUGUUUAUCCCCGUUUUGUUCCGUUUGCUUCCGUUUAAGAAAGGUUUUUCAACAGAAGCAGCGGAAUGAAUACACCCCGUUGUGUAACUCCUUCUGGCAUCUACACACUCUUCCUCUCACCCUUUCCCUUCACUUGUGGACUUCAUUGCACAACACAUCAGCUGUCUGUGACCAGGUGAAAAAAAAUAAAUUGUUCAAAACUGUUCAACUACCAUCUUUCUCUUUUAGUCGACUACUCGCCACAUUUUGGGGGGGCUCCCAAGUGGCGCAGUGAUCUAAGGCACUGCAUCUCAGUGCUAGAGGCAUCACUACAGACCCUCAAUUCCAGGCUGUAUCACAACCAGACGUGAUUGGGAGUCUCAUAGGGUGGCACACAAUUGGCCCAGCAUCACCAGGUUACGGUUUGGCAUCAUUGUAAAUAUGAAUUUGUUCUGAACUGACUUGUGUAGUUAAAUAAAAAAAAUAAAACAAUUGCAGUGCUAGCUAGCAGUAUAUUUUGCUUUCAGUACUAGAUUCAUUC
Molecule: long non-coding RNA, 1064 nt
Organism: Oncorhynchus tshawytscha (Chinook salmon)
Lineage: Eukaryota; Metazoa; Chordata; Actinopteri; Salmoniformes; Salmonidae
Source: Ensembl